RNAcentral lists this transfer RNA (72 nucleotides) under Planctomycetota bacterium. Its description in RNAcentral is "Planctomycetes bacterium tRNA-Gln". It matches the Rfam family "tRNA". Rfam says of the family: Transfer RNA (tRNA) molecules are approximately 80 nucleotides in length. Their secondary structure includes four short double-helical elements and three loops (D, anti-codon, and T loops). Further hydrogen bonds mediate the characteristic L-shaped molecular structure. tRNAs have two regions of fundamental functional importance: the anti-codon, which is responsible for specific mRNA codon recognition, and the 3' end, to which the tRNAs corresponding amino acid is attached (by aminoacyl-tRNA synthetases). tRNAs cope with the degeneracy of the genetic code in two manners: having more than one tRNA (with a specific anti-codon) for a particular amino acid; and 'wobble' base-pairing, i.e. permitting non-standard base-pairing at the 3rd anti-codon position. The record is from RNAcentral. Lineage: Bacteria; Pseudomonadati; Planctomycetota.
UGCCCGGUGGUGUAAACGGUAGCACACGGGACUUUGGAUCCCGCAGUGGAGGUUCGAAUCCUCCCCGGGCAA